AUUGAACGCUGGCGGCAGGCUUAACACAUGCAAGUCGAGCGGGGGAAGGUAGCUUGCUACUGGACCUAGCGGCGGACGGGUGAGUAAUGCUUAGGAAUCUGCCUAUUAGUGGGGGACAACAUCUCGAAAGGGAUGCUAAUACCGCAUACGUCCUACGGGAGAAAGCAGGGGAUCUUCGGACCUUGCGCUAAUAGAUGAGCCUAAGUCGGAUCAGCUAGUUGGUGGGGUAAAGGCCUACCAAGGCGACGAUCUGGAGCGGGUCUGAGAGGAUGAUCCGCCACACUGGGACUAAGACACGGCCCAGACUCCUACGGGAGGCAGCAGUGGGGAAUAUUGGACAAUGGGGGGAACCCUGAUCCAGCCAUGCCGCGUGUGUGAAGAAAGCCUUAUGGUUGUAAAGCACUUUAAGCGAGGAGGAGGCUACUUUAGUUAAUACCUAGAGAUAGUGGACGUUACUCGCAGAAUAAGCACCGGCUAACUCUGUGCCAGCAGCCGCCGUAA
Molecule: ribosomal RNA, 501 nt
Filed under: uncultured bacterium
Lineage: Bacteria
Description: partial 16S ribosomal RNA
Rfam family: Bacterial small subunit ribosomal RNA
Source: RNAcentral